This 446-nucleotide ribosomal RNA is filed under the name uncultured bacterium. RNAcentral's name for it is "bacterial SSU rRNA". It matches the Rfam family "Bacterial small subunit ribosomal RNA", at positions 547 to 992 of the family's 1533-position model. The record is from RNAcentral.
GGAAUUACUGGGCGUAAAGCGCACGCAGGCGGUUUGUUAAGUCAGAUGUGAAAUCCCCGGGCUCAACCUGGGAACUGCAUUUGAAACUGGCAAGCUAGAGUCUCGUAGAGGGGGGUAGAAUUCCAGGUGUAGCGGUGAAAUGCGUAGAGAUCUGGAGGAAUACCGGUGGCGAAGGCGGCCCCCUGGACGAAGACUGACGCUCAGGUGCGAAAGCGUGGGGAGCAAACAGGAUUAGAUACCCUGGUAGUCCACGCUGUAAACGAUGUCGAUUUGGAGGUUGUGCCCUUGAGGCGUGGCUUCCGGAGCUAACGCGUUAAAUCGACCGCCUGGGGAGUACGGCCGCAAGGUUAAAACUCAAAUGAAUUGACGGGGGCCCGCACAAGCGGUGGAGCAUGUGGUUUAAUUCGAUGCAACGCGAAGAACCUUACCUACUCUUGACAUCCAGA